Magnolia sinica is the source of this 442-nucleotide long non-coding RNA. RefSeq lists it as uncharacterized. The transcript has 3 exons. The record is from RefSeq and is a predicted model, not a curated record. Lineage: Eukaryota; Viridiplantae; Streptophyta; Magnoliopsida; Magnoliales; Magnoliaceae.
GUUUAUCUAAGAAAAUGGCCCUUGAUGGAGUGCAUUGGCAGAAAAGGAUUUGUGUAGCUGAUUCCAGUUAGUUGGUCUUUAGAUGAUGCUGAUUUUCUUGGCUAUGGUGAGUUUAAUGAAAAGAAGAUUGAAGAAAUGCAAUUGGAAGAGAUGCAGCUUCAAUUCAAAGAAACUGAAAAGAUGCUAGUGAAGGAACAAGAGGCUGUGAAAGAAGCAACAAACCAAAUUCCUGUCAUACAGGAGGUCCCAGUCAUUAAUAGUGUGUUGUUGGAUAAAUAGACUUUUGAAAAUGAACAACUGAAGGCCAUGGUGAGCUCACUGGAAAAGAAGAUAGAUGAAACUGAAAGAAAGUAUGAAGAAACACACAGGCUUAGUGAAGAAAUGCUUAAGCAGGCUAUGGUUGUAGAGUCAAAGAUAAUUCAAUUGAAGACUGACAUGCAGA